GAUGAACGCUGGCGGCGUGCUUAACACAUGCAAGUCGAGCGGAAAGGCCCUGCUUUUGUGGGUUUCACGAUAGGGGAGCAGGGGAGUGUCACACGUGUAUCCUGCCCCUGUCUUUGGGAUAUCUUCACGAGACUCGGGCUCUUACCGGGUAGAAUCUCCUGCUGCAUGGUGUGGAUUGGUAAGUGCCGGCGGUUGUGGAUGGACUCGAUGCUUAUCCGCUUGUUGGGCUGGUAGUUGCUUACCAGGCCUUUGACGGGUAGCCGGCAUGAGAGGGUGACCGGCGACAAGGGGACUGCGAGACGGCGCAGACUCCUAUGGGAGGCAGUAGUGGGAAACAUGGCAGAAUGGGGGGAAGCCUGAUGUAGCAACGCCGCGUGCGGGAUGACCUCCUUCGGGUGGUAAACCGCUGUCGCAUGUGACGAAGCGUGCGUGACGGUAAUGGGUAAAGAAGCACCGGCUAACUACGUG
This 468-nucleotide ribosomal RNA is filed under the name uncultured bacterium. Its description in RNAcentral is "partial 16S ribosomal RNA". It matches the Rfam family "Bacterial small subunit ribosomal RNA", at positions 28 to 507 of the family's 1533-position model. The record is from RNAcentral.